GAUCAUGGCUCAGGAUGAACGCUGGCGGCGUGCUUAACACAUGCAAGUCGAACGGACUUUAUAUGAAGCCUAGCGAUUAUAAAGUUAGUGGCGGACGGGUGAGUAACGCGUGAAUAACCUGCCCUGUACCGGGGGACAACAGUUGGAAACGGCUGCUAAUACCGCAUAAGCGCACGGUUCCGCAUGACACAGUGUGAAAAACUCCGGUGGUAUGAGAUGGACCCGCGUCUGAUUAG
RNAcentral lists this ribosomal RNA (236 nucleotides) under uncultured bacterium. RNAcentral's name for it is "partial 16S ribosomal RNA". It matches the Rfam family "Bacterial small subunit ribosomal RNA", at positions 15 to 244 of the family's 1533-position model. The record is from RNAcentral.